This 546-nucleotide long non-coding RNA is filed under the name Monodelphis domestica (gray short-tailed opossum). Its description in RNAcentral is "lncRNA (ENSMODG00000049142.1)". Lineage: Eukaryota; Metazoa; Chordata; Mammalia; Didelphimorphia; Didelphidae. The record is from RNAcentral.
UGGAGGGAUUUUUAUUUUCUCCUAAAGGCAAAAGGGAGCUCUGCAGGUUCUUGAAUGGAGGAGUAACAUAGACUUGUGUGUUUAAGAAGGUUAUUUUGGAGGGAAAGAGCAGCCGAAGUGGGAUCUGAACUCACAUGUUUGGGUUACAAAUCCAAUGCUGGUUUCACUGUGCCAGGAGAAUUUAGCCAAGUUUUGGAGUCUUGCCUUCUUGCAAAAGGUAUCCUUCCUGCCCAUAACGUUUUGGCGCCCAGAAGAAAGAGGCAAACCCCAGGGGUACACAUUGAUCCCUAUAAGAUUUUGACACCCAACGUUUUUGGCUCUCCUGAAAGCUACUCCUGUACUCCGGAUCAUCCACAAGGACACAGCUUCUCAGUAAGCUCAAGGGAGGACCAUCGUAAAGAUUUCAUUAAAGGUUUCUGAAGAUAUUUCAGCAAAUCAUGGUUAUGAGUUAUGAGUUCGUAUAUAUGGAUGGAUACCAGAAGUUGGAAGAAUGAAAAAGAAUAUAUUUAAUAAUGAUCACUGUAACAUUCUUCAAGGCAUGAGUCC